This is a long non-coding RNA of Helianthus annuus (common sunflower), 1251 nucleotides long. RefSeq lists it as uncharacterized. The transcript has 9 exons. Lineage: Eukaryota; Viridiplantae; Streptophyta; Magnoliopsida; Asterales; Asteraceae. The record is from RefSeq and is a predicted model, not a curated record.
CUUAGUUUUAACCCUAGGUUUUUUCUCCAAUACGUUACCCUAGGGUUUUUCUCCAAUAUGUUCAUCUCUCUUCCCCAUCUCUAUUCGCCUCUCAUCCGAUAUCAAGGUUUUGAUCUUGAACUCCUUGAUUUUCUUCAAAUGUUUUUAAAAAAAUGAAGAUUUUGCGUUAUUGAAUCAUUCUAAUCAUCCAAUGGUGAAGAUUUUGCUUUAUAAUGGCAACUAUUUUUGCCUGAAUCAUUGUAAUCAUCCCCUUCAACAUCUUCCAAAAUCAAAGCUUUCAAGGAAAGAGUGGAUUUGAAGAUGAUAACUUUCAACAGUCUAACUCCAUUGACUUGAAUAUGAAGAGUUGUGUAAAUAUGGAGAAAGAUCACUUGCCUAUUGCCGAAAUCCAAAAUUCAUUGAGAACUUAGAUUUUGCAGCUUGAGAAAAGAUUACAAGACCAAGUUGUUGUUCGUGGCGCGCUAGAACAAGCAUUGGGUUAUAAAUCAUCCUCCUGCGAGAUUACGAAUCAAGCCUCUAUACCAAAGAACCAUGGAAGGGAAAAAUACCAUCUAUUUGAUUUGAACGAUAUUGAUGGCAAAACAAGAGCUUUUACAAUAAAGGUAAAAGUGGUUAGGCUAUGGAAGAGAUCAAAUCCCAAAAUGGUUGGUGAGAAAUGGACUAUUGAUAUGGUGCUCAUGGAUGAAAAGGACCAACACAUAGCUUUGAGUUUUCAACAUUUAAGUCUAUUAAAAAUGGUGGAGUUUCUUCAGAUUUUAGAUUUUCGAACUGACUUUAUUGGGUACGUCGAGGAGUGGUUUCCAUGGGAGGAUACAACAACACGAUAUGGCAAACAAUCCUACAAGAUGGACUUAAUAUUGAGAGAUUUGGAGUUUUUCUCCUUUAAUAUCGUUUUUUCUAAUAAUUUUCUUCAUACUGUAUUGAUUAUUUUUCGCUAAAUUAAUAACAAUUUCAGGGGUAUUGCUGCAAGGUUGACAUUGUGGGAGGAAUAUUGCGAUCAAAUGCAAGAGUACAUCUCCAAAAAUAAGGAAGAAGUACAUAUUGUACUUAUUGUUCAGUUUGGUAGCGUCCAUGACUACAAAGGCACCAUCAAUGUCGCAAAUGCGUACUACAUUACUAAGUUGUUCAUCGAUGAACGCAUUGAAGAGAUUGUUAAUUUCAAAAGAAGUCUGGCGUCACAUCUAAUGAAGACGAGUUCUUACAUAAGACUUUUUUCAGCACCAUUCGUCAGAUUAGGGAAAUAGCUCAGGC